UACGUAGGGAGCAAGCGUUGUUCGGAUUUACUGGGCGUAAAGGGCGCGUAGGCGGCAAAUUAAGUCAGCUGUGAAAUCUCCGAGCUUAACUCGGAACGGUCAGCUGAUACUGAUCUGCUAGAGUGCGGAAGGGGCAAUCGGAAUUCUUGGUGUAGCGGUGAAAUGCGUAGAUAUCUGGAGGAAUACCGGUGGCGAAGGCGGCAUCCUGGACCGACAUUGACGCUGAGGAGCGAAAGCUAGGGGAGCAAACGGG
This 253-nucleotide ribosomal RNA is filed under the name uncultured bacterium. RNAcentral's name for it is "partial 16S ribosomal RNA". It matches the Rfam family "Bacterial small subunit ribosomal RNA", at positions 524 to 776 of the family's 1533-position model. The record is from RNAcentral.